UACGUAGGGGGCUAGCGUUGUCCGGAAUCAUUGGGCGUAAAGAGCGCGUAGGCGGCCAGAUAAGUCCGGUGUGAAAGUCACAGGCUCAACCGGGGAACUGCGUCCGAUACUGGAUGGCUUGAGUUCGGGAGAGGGAUGCGGAAUUCCAGGUGUAGCGGUGAAAUGCGUAGAUAUCUGGAGGAACACCGGUGGCGAAGGCGGCAUCCUGGACCAACACUGACGCUGAGGAGCGAAAGCCAGGGGAGCAAACGGG
This 253-nucleotide ribosomal RNA is filed under the name uncultured bacterium. RNAcentral's name for it is "partial 16S ribosomal RNA". It matches the Rfam family "Bacterial small subunit ribosomal RNA", at positions 524 to 776 of the family's 1533-position model. The record is from RNAcentral.